CAUCAAGGCAGAGGGGUACAGCAAAGAGAGCUGCUUAGCUCAUGCAGCCAGGAAACAGAGCAAGGGAACAGCAACACAGAGGGAGGAACAAGGGAGACAGUUCAAGGGAAAGGAUCAGUAGCAGCCUGAACCGGCUUGGGGUGUGGCCUCCAGCCAGGGCCUCUCAGCCAUUGCUGCAGGAGGGAACCUACUCUAAGCUGCUCUGAGAAAGCCCUAAGUACCAUCCAACCUGGAGAACAAACAGGCCUGGCAGGAGGUGUGAGUCUGGGUUUCCAUGAUGGGAGCUAAACUCAGCCUGAACUGCAGGGGCACAAUGUGACCAUGGGACUUGGAGACCGCUCAAGCCAAAGGACAUGAAGUUUAUUUAUUAGAGCUUCACUGGGGAUGUUAACACCUCCUCCAGCCUGUCUAUGAAGUUGUGCAAUCUUGCAUCCCUAUAAAUACCACCGUGUUCCAGCCUCUGCAAGCCUGUGCCGGCUCAAGCUCAGAGGGAACAGCGGCUGCUUUCCCACAUCCUGGUGAGGCCAAAUGGGGACCAUGAGGACUCACUGCUGUCUGCUGCUGCUGUUCUGCUUCCUUGCCUGUUAUGUUGCCCCAGGUGCUGGCAUCCUGGCUGGCCUGAACAGUGGUCAAGAAAGUACCUCUGACAAUGAAAAGUGCGUCCAGAAGGGAGGGAGCUGUGUCUAUUACAACUGCCCCAUCUAUUCUCAAAUCGUUGGUACCUGUUACAAUGGGCAAGCCAAGUGCUGUGCCUGAACCUGCAGUGAUUUGAAAAGAAAAUGCAGAAGCCAUGUGAAAGAUAUCUAAUCACUGAUUUAAUAAAGGUUUUCUGGAAGCAA
Cavia porcellus (domestic guinea pig) is the source of this 839-nucleotide long non-coding RNA. RefSeq lists it as uncharacterized. The transcript is spliced from 2 exons. The record is from RefSeq and is a predicted model, not a curated record. Lineage: Eukaryota; Metazoa; Chordata; Mammalia; Rodentia; Caviidae.